Molecule: ribosomal RNA, 323 nt
Filed under: uncultured eukaryote
Lineage: Eukaryota
Description: partial 18S ribosomal RNA
Rfam family: Eukaryotic small subunit ribosomal RNA
Source: RNAcentral
CCCUUAGAUGUUCUGGGCCGCACGCGCGCUACACUGAUGCAUUCAACGAGUUUCUUCCUGGUCCGAGAGGAAUGGGUAACCUUUUGAAAGUGCAUCGUGAUAGGGAUAGACUAUUGCAAUUAUUGGUCUUCAACGAGGAAUUCCUAGUAGACGUAGUUCAUCAGACUGCAUCGAUUACGUCCCUGCCCUUUGUACACACCGCCCGUCGCUCCUGCCGAUUGAAUGCUCAGGUGAGCCAUUCGGACUUUCAUCAUGCUGGUUUCCAGUUUUGAUGAAGGAAAGUCUUGCGAACCUUAUCAUUUAGAGGAAGGAGAAGUCGUAAC